GAUGAACGCUGGCGGCGUGCUUAACACAUGCAAGUCGAACGAUGAAGCCCAGCUUGCUGGGUGGAUUAGUGGCGAACGGGUGAGUAACACGUGAGUAACCUGCCCUUGACUCUGGGAUAAGCCUGGGAAACUGGGUCUAAUACUGGAUAUGACUUCUCAUCGCAUGAUGGGGGGUGGAAAGAUUUAUUGGUCUUGGAUGGACUCGCGGCCUAUCAGCUUGUUGGUGAGGUAAUGGCUCACCAAGGCGACGACGGGUAGCCGGCCUGAGAGGGUGACCGGCCACACUGGGACUGAGACACGGCCCAGACUCCUACGGGAGGCAGCAGUGGGGAAUAUUGCACAAUGGGCGCAAGCCUGAUGCAGCGACGCCGCGUGAGGGAUGACGGCCUUCGGGUUGUAAACCUCUUUCAGUAGGGAAGAAGCGAGAGUGACGGUACCUGCAGAAGAAGCGCCGGCUAACUACGUG
RNAcentral lists this ribosomal RNA (466 nucleotides) under uncultured bacterium. RNAcentral's name for it is "partial 16S ribosomal RNA". It matches the Rfam family "Bacterial small subunit ribosomal RNA", at positions 28 to 507 of the family's 1533-position model. The record is from RNAcentral.